GAAUUUAAAAAAUUAUUUUAUUUUUUAGUUUAUAUUUUUUUUAUUUGAAGUAACAUAAAUUUUAUUAUAUUUAAAGAAAAAAUUUAUAUUAUGAUAGUUAAUUAGUAUUGUGAAAGAAAUUUUUAAUAAUAUUUUUAAGAAAAAUUUAAUUUUUGUACCUUGUGUAUCAGGGUUAAUUAAUUAAUAUUUAUUAAUUUUUAAAUUUCUCGAAUUUAAAAGAGUUAAUUAUUUAUAAAUUUUAUUGUAAAAUAAAUAUUUAUAAUAAAUAAUUUGAAAUGAAACGUUAUUCGUUUUUAAAUAUAUCUAGUUUUUUAAGAAAAAAUUUUAAUUUUUUUAUUAAUAUUUAAUUAUUUUAUUUUUUAAUUUUUUAUUAUUAAUAAAAAAUUUAUUUAGGGAUAAGCUUAGAUAAAAAUUUUUAUAAUUAAAUUUAUUUUUAAUAAUUUAUAGGAUUAUAAUUUUCUAUUAAUAAAAAAAUGUUAUAAUUAAUUAUUGUUUUAUUAAAAUUUAUAUUUAAUUUAAUUAAUUUAUUAAAAAAUUUUUGUUAAUUAUAUUUAUAAAGUUAUAAUGAUUAAAUUAGUAUAAAUUAUUGUUUGAAAUUAUGUUUAAUUUAGGUUAAUUAAAGGAAUUCGGCAAAUUUAUUUUUCACCUGUUUAUUAAAAACAUGUCCUUUUGAUUAUAAUUUAAGGUCUAAUCUGCCCACUGAAUAUUAAAUGGCUGCGGUAUUUUGACCGUACAAAGGUAGCAUAAUAAAUAGUUUUUUAAUUGAAAGCUGGAAUGAAUGAUUGGAUGAGAAAAUGACUGUCUCUAAUUAAUUUUUUUAGAAUUUUAUUUUUAAGUUAAAAAGCUUAAAUUUUUUUAAAAGACGAGAAGACCCUAUAGAGUUUAAUAAUUAUAAUAAUUUUUAUUUAUAGUUUAAAAAUUAAAGAUUAAUUUAAUUAUUUUGUUGGGGUGACAGAAAAAUUUAUUAAACUUUUUUUAUAUUU
RNAcentral lists this ribosomal RNA (983 nucleotides) under Parapylus bicinctus. Its description in RNAcentral is "partial 16S ribosomal RNA". Lineage: Eukaryota; Metazoa; Arthropoda; Insecta; Coleoptera; Cleridae. The record is from RNAcentral.